Scylla paramamosain (green mud crab) is the source of this 986-nucleotide long non-coding RNA. RefSeq lists it as uncharacterized. NCBI's taxonomy places the organism in Eukaryota, Metazoa, Arthropoda, Malacostraca, Decapoda, Portunidae. The record is from RefSeq and is a predicted model, not a curated record. The transcript has 3 exons.
GGUUAAUAAUGUGUUAGGGCGGCGGUGUUCCAAUUGGCCAGUCUCAACAGGUGCCGCGAGGCGCUCAGUGGUGAGUGCUGUGACUCCUGCCGCGAAACUCGCUUGCUCCAAAGCGCAAUUGAGCGUGGUGAAGGCACUCGGAUCCGCGAGGUGGCCCUGUUCCACAGCGACCAGAGGCGUGGUGCUUGAUACAGAAGCCAGUCAGAAGGAAGGAGCACUUGGGAGGCGGAGCAGUUUACAUCUGACACGUGGCUCGCCCAGUGGUAUACCAGCUGCCAUGCCCCCGUCUGUGCUCUAUUAGGAAGACAGCAGCCGAAAAAGCUUCAGAAAUAAGGUAUUUGUGCUUCCCAUGUUUCUUCUCAUCAUCAUUCUCACUUUCCUCAAUGAAAUCAAAGAACAGUGAACAGUGCUUUCUACUCACGUAUCCCUGUUUUGUCCUCCUCACUAAUGCAUAAGUUAAUCGGUAUCUUCACUCUCUGAUUCCUUUCACUUGUAAUUCUGGGACACUUUACCUAUUUCUGUUCUCCUCUUUCCUCCGUCUUGAGCGAUUUCAUGCAUAUCAAGACACUUUCGUAACCAAAAUGGCAAACUUUUAGGUAUCGCCUCACAUUAUCCAGGCUUCUUUUACCUGAAUUUUUGUGCACUUUGCCAGACUCAUUGACACGUGAAGUAAUAAUUUCAUGGCCUUGUAUUUCAUUCAUUGUGUGUCUUCUAUUUUACAGCUUAAAUUUUUGCAUUUACUUCAUGAAAAUGUGGUCAUUAGUGGCUUGAUGGCUAUCUAGACUCUCAGUGUCGCCCACUGACUGGCGAUCAUACAGUGUUGUCCGAGACAUGACAUUUGUGAAAGAGCAGCACGACCCCCGCGGCGCCGCUCGACCUGUGCUGCCCGGGAAUGGUGCGGCUACGAGAUAGUUGUGGUGGUGGUGGAGCUUUGGCCUUGUGGUGUGUGUGUGCCGGGAGAGAGAGAGAGAGAGAGAGAGAGAGAG